RNAcentral lists this ribosomal RNA (254 nucleotides) under uncultured bacterium. Its description in RNAcentral is "partial 16S ribosomal RNA". It matches the Rfam family "Bacterial small subunit ribosomal RNA", at positions 524 to 776 of the family's 1533-position model. The record is from RNAcentral.
UACGAAGGGGGCGAGCGUUGUUCGGAAUCAUUGGGCGUAAAGGGCGCGUAGGCGGGUUUGUAAGUCGAUUGUGAAAUCCCUGGGCUUAACCCGGGAAUUGCAGUCGAAACUGCAAGUCUUGAGUUCUCGAGAGGAUGGUGGAAUUCCUGGAGUAGUAGUGAAAUACGUAGAUAUCAGGAGGAACACCGGAGGCGAAGGCGGCCAUCUGGCGAGACACUGACGCUAAGGCGCGGAAAGCGUGGGGAGCAAACAGG